Molecule: long non-coding RNA, 572 nt
Organism: Vigna radiata var. radiata (mung bean)
Lineage: Eukaryota; Viridiplantae; Streptophyta; Magnoliopsida; Fabales; Fabaceae
Exons: 4
Source: RefSeq, a predicted model, not a curated record
AAGAUUGCAGCUUUGACAUUGAGUUUACAUCUUCUCUCUGUUUUUUUGCAUAAUAUGAGAUCAGCACCAAUCGGUACUGAAGCUGCAACUUCAACUUUUUCCACUGAUAAUUUUAGGAGUACAUCUCUUAACAGAAGCAGUUUUCCAAAAAGUUUUAUAUUUGGGACAGCAUCAUCUGCUUAUCAGUGUGAAGGUGCAGCUAAUGUUGGUGGCAGAGGACCAAGCAUAUGGGAUAUAUACACUCAUAAUUACCCAGAAGGAAAGGUUAGCAGAGGUGUGAACAAGGAAGGAGCCAACUAUUACAACAACCUCAUCAAUGAACUAUAAGCUAAAGGACUUGAACCCUUUGUGACCAUAUUUCAUUGGGACCUUCCUCAAGCCUUAGAAGAUGAAUAUGACGGUUUUUUAAGUCCUAAUAUAGUGUAACUCAAAUUAUUUACAUCAAAUAAUCAAAAUAUACUUGUGUAAACAUAUUUUAACUGAUAUCUAUCUACUUUGUUUAUCACUCUCUAGGAAUGAUUUUCAAGAUUAUGCAGAACUUUGUUUUAAAGAAUUUGGAGACAGAGUAAAAC